RNAcentral lists this ribosomal RNA (400 nucleotides) under uncultured bacterium. RNAcentral's name for it is "bacterial SSU rRNA". It matches the Rfam family "Bacterial small subunit ribosomal RNA", at positions 355 to 772 of the family's 1533-position model. The record is from RNAcentral.
UGGGGAAUAUUGGACAAUGGGGGCAACCCUGAUCCAGCAAUGCCGCGUGAGUGAUGAAGGCCUUCGGGUUGUAAAGCUCUUUUGGCAGGGACGAUGAUGACGGUACCUGCAGAAUAAGCCCCGGCUAACUUCGUGCCAGCAGCCGCGGUAAUACGAAGGGGGCGAGCGUUGUUCGGAGUUACUGGGCGUAAAGGGCGCGUAGGCGGCUUUUCAAGUCAGAUGUGAAAUCCCUGGGCUUAACCCGGGAAUGGCAUUUGGGACUGGAAGGCUGGAGGACGAGAGAGGAUGAUGGAAUUCCCAGUGUAGAGGUGAAAUUCGUAGAGAUUGGGAAGAACACCGGUGGCGAAGGCGGUCAUCUGGCUCGUAACUGACGCUGAGGCGCGAAAGCGUGGGGAGCAAA